UGGGGAAUCUUGGACAAUGGGCGCAAGCCUGAUCCAGCCAUGCCGCGUGGAUGAUGAAGGCCUUAGGGUUGUAAAAUCCUUUCGUGGGGGACGAUAAUGACGGUACCCCAAGAAGAAGCUCCGGCUAACUUCGUGCCAGCAGCCGCGGUAAUACGAAGGGGGCUAGCGUUGUUCGGAUUUACUGGGCGUAAAGCGCGUGUAGGCGGGUCGUUAAGUUGGGGGUGAAAUCCCGAGGCUCAACCUCGGAACUGCCUUCAAAACUGGCGACCUGGACUCAAGCAGAGGCAAGUGGAAUUGCGAGUGUAGAGGUGAAAUUCGUAGAUAUUCGCAGGAACACCAGUGGCGAAGGCGACUUGCUGGGCUUGUAGUGACGCUGAGACGCGAAAGCGUGGGGAGCAAACAGGAUUAGAUACCCUCGUAGUCCCUGAGCGGGCUGGCAAGGCGCAU
This 447-nucleotide ribosomal RNA is filed under the name uncultured bacterium. RNAcentral describes it as "bacterial SSU rRNA". It matches the Rfam family "Bacterial small subunit ribosomal RNA", at positions 355 to 825 of the family's 1533-position model. The record is from RNAcentral.